CACAGUUUGCAGAAGAAAGCCUAUAGAAUUUUGGAGGAAAUAUGUGCAGGGGAACAGCCACCAUGCAAAGAAUUUGUAAACAACAAUCUGGAAGAAUUACAGAAAACACUCCUGACUUCCCUGAAAAGCACUUCAUCCUUUCAUCCCCUGGUAAACGGUAUGGAAGACAUUUUGGCUGAUUCUGAUGAAGUAGAGGAAGAGGAAGAGAAACCAACCAAACAACGAAAGAAACGGGCCCGGCAGAAGAGCCAGGCUUGGCUUAAAGAAGGGGAGGAAGAUGACCCAGUAAAUUUCCUUGAUCCCAAAGCUGCACAGCGUGUACUGGCUCUCGACAAAAGGCCAUGAUUCCCAGACCUGGAUGUAACGGAGAAGAAGGGCACGUAACCUCCUUUGCAACCACAGACUGGCACAGAAAAAAGAUAUUUUGUAGCAGUUACCGUAAAAGAGAUGCUAUAAGAAUACAGCAAUUCAGUAAGUACCCCUUUUUCUUAAUUAAACAUUAUGAAUGCUGAAGGUUUGCUCUCAUUAUGUUCCAUGGUGUGUGCUGAAAAGCCAAAUAAUGUACCCGCUUGUGUUAUACUCACAGGGAUGCAUUGGGACAGUGAAUGCAAUAAAAGGAACAAGUAAUAUUUUUUCCUACAUUCCAAGUUUCUCUGUGUUUCUUUGGGUAUGGUGCUUUAAGGUCAAUGUGCUCCAUUAUUACAUUAUACGUUAUUGGUAAAAUACAUUUUUACAUUUUUUUUUUUACACUUGGUUUGUACAUGAGACAUAAACGUGUGACAUAAAGAAGAAUUCUCGCUUAUUGAGAGCUUAUAGCCAAAAAGUGAAAUAAUUCUAGAACCAUAAAAAAUGAUGACCAACUGCAAAUUAUUUCAGAAUAUCAUUGUCGACAUCAUACUAAAAUUAAAUUUUAAGACAAAUUAGCCCUUUAAAGUUAAUAUUAAAACAUAAAUCCCAAAUCUUAAAGACAAUUUUGACCUGAAUAAAUCUAAAACUCAAUAAAGACAAAUUGAGCCAAUGAAACACUUUACUCACAGUCGCACCAUUGGUUGAAUUAGCACAUGUUUGUACAUGUGAGCAGUAACGCCACGUCAAGGCUUCAACCCUGUUACCGGCA
Molecule: long non-coding RNA, 1117 nt
Organism: Xenopus tropicalis (tropical clawed frog)
Lineage: Eukaryota; Metazoa; Chordata; Amphibia; Anura; Pipidae
Exons: 3
Source: RefSeq, a predicted model, not a curated record